GAGUACCAGUUUUGUCUGAGAACACAAACUUGAUUUGCCCUAAAUCUUCAUUUAUAUUCAAAGCCCGACACUGAAAUGCUGAAUUUGAGGCCUCAUCAUACAUGAGUGUAUCUCGAAUCAUGAAGUAAGCCUGACCAACCCGAACAAGCUCCAUAGAGAUGUACAAAGAAAUAGGGAUCAUGAUCUGGAACACAAUAACUGACAUAAGGAAUGUGAAAAAUAUCUCCAGUCCCCAUCCAUAAUAAUUGUAGUCAUCCUUAUCUUCAUCAUUGAAGUUCUUUUUCCUAUAAAAGGGAAUGGUAUUCAAAUCAU
RNAcentral lists this unclassified non-coding RNA (312 nucleotides) under Hevea brasiliensis (rubber tree). The record is from RNAcentral. Lineage: Eukaryota; Viridiplantae; Streptophyta; Magnoliopsida; Malpighiales; Euphorbiaceae.